UCAUGUUAAAACUGCAUACUUGUUUGAAAAAAACACUCGAGUUACAACUGCAUAACAUAUCCAAAUAUUACAAUAACAACUGCAUAAUUAAGAGAUCAAAAUAUGGUGGCCACAACUGCAUAAUUUUUUGAAAAAACAGGCAUCACAACAAAGCAGUCCCAGCUGCAUAAUUAUUUUACAAAAACAUAUUUAUCUAGGAGCAACUACAUAAUUGUUUGAGAAAUCAGACAUCAAAUACCUAAAAUAAACAUGAACAAAUGAGACUUUAAAUACUGGACAACUAAUGAACUUGUUUGGCUCAAGCGAUUCAUUUAUUCAACUUUGGUACUUGUCUUCAUUUUGUUUUUUGCUCUCAUUUCUAAAAUCCUUGUUGUAUGAAAAUAGGCUUUCCUUUUCAUUUCACACCUGAUAUUGGUUUAUGAUGUUCAAGAUUUUCAAUUACUCUAGAGGAGUUCAAAGGCAUUCUAGGCUGCAAUAACAAAAACAAAUGUAUUAGUCAUUUGAUCAUUGACUUUAAUAUUGAAAAGUGUAAAAUUAUUCAAUCACUUACAUUGUGGAUUUUAAAAUCACUUUGUGUAUGUAGCACCCCCAUCCCAACAAUAUUUGGCCUUUUUAAAUUUUACCUCGACCCCUACCAGUAACACUACAAAAAUUAGAUGUAGGAUCGACAACCCCUCUGCCCCUUUCACUGAC
Molecule: long non-coding RNA, 693 nt
Filed under: Capsicum annuum
Lineage: Eukaryota; Viridiplantae; Streptophyta; Magnoliopsida; Solanales; Solanaceae
Description: long non-coding RNA (CANN_LNC018776)
Source: RNAcentral